Long non-coding RNA from Drosophila arizonae, 99 nucleotides. Lineage: Eukaryota; Metazoa; Arthropoda; Insecta; Diptera; Drosophilidae. The record is from RefSeq and is a predicted model, not a curated record.
GUUGUCGCUGCUCUUGGGCAGUGGCUCAAACGGUGAUUAAUCGAAAAGUGAAUACUUCUCAAAAACGAAUGCUAAUGCCUGAUCUAAGUGUGUGUGUGU